RNAcentral lists this transfer RNA (73 nucleotides) under Perkinsus olseni. It matches the Rfam family "tRNA". Rfam says of the family: Transfer RNA (tRNA) molecules are approximately 80 nucleotides in length. Their secondary structure includes four short double-helical elements and three loops (D, anti-codon, and T loops). Lineage: Eukaryota; Perkinsozoa; Perkinsida; Perkinsidae. The record is from Rfam by way of RNAcentral.
GGUCCCGUAGCUCAGUGGUUAGAGCGAUGGUUUUAUGAGCCGUCGGCCGUGGGCUCGAACCCCGCCAGGACUA